Molecule: non-coding RNA, 24 nt
Filed under: Cricetulus griseus (Chinese hamster)
Lineage: Eukaryota; Metazoa; Chordata; Mammalia; Rodentia; Cricetidae
Source: RNAcentral
AGAAAAGUAAGUGGAAAAGAACUG